AUCAUUCUUCACAAUAAAGGACACGCCAGAAUUGUGCAGUCGAGACGACAACUUCUGUGUACGUUUCAAAUGUAUUACUACUGGCUCUGGUAUUUCCACGACACUCUCCUUCCACACUGAGUCAAAACCUACAGUCAUUGGGUCCUGAUUGUGACAGUGGAGCCCAUUUUGAACUGCAGGAUCCAGCGAUGGCAUCAGUGAAGCUGGAAGACUGAAGUCAAACACUGGAACUGAAUGCCAAAAUUAAAGAUUAAGAAGUGGAGGAGAAGAUUGGAAAAUCUGUUUCUCAUGGACUAGAAUUAAGUCUGAGGCCGGUAACAUCAACAGUAACGACAAACCCAGCCUGCCUCUCUCCUUC
Molecule: long non-coding RNA, 358 nt
Organism: Salvelinus namaycush (lake trout)
Lineage: Eukaryota; Metazoa; Chordata; Actinopteri; Salmoniformes; Salmonidae
Exons: 3
Source: RefSeq, a predicted model, not a curated record